This 253-nucleotide ribosomal RNA is filed under the name uncultured bacterium. RNAcentral describes it as "partial 16S ribosomal RNA". It matches the Rfam family "Bacterial small subunit ribosomal RNA", at positions 524 to 776 of the family's 1533-position model. The record is from RNAcentral.
UACAGAGGUCCCAAGCGUUGUUCGGAUUCACUGGGCGUAAAGGGUGCGUAGGUGGUGAGGUAAGUCGGAUGUGAAAUCUCCAGGCUCAACCUGGAAAUGGCAUCGGAAACUACCUUGCUCGAGGUUUGGAGGGGGGACUGGAAUACUUGGUGUAGCAGUGAAAUGCGUAGAUAUCAAGUGGAACACCAGUGGCGAAGGCGAGUCCCUGGACAAAACCUGACACUGAGGCACGAAAGCUAGGGGAGCAAACGGG